UUUUUAAUCUCUGUAACAACAACAAUCCGCCUCAUAUUCAUAGUAAGCAGCAUAAUAAAAGUUAAACCUCAUCUCUCUCCCUCUCUCUCCCUUGUGUUUACAUUUAAUGCUCCGUUUCAGAUAUAGGCUCAAGCUCAUGUCUUUUACCUGAUUUCUCAGUUUUCCUUUUUGUUGGGGUUCCACACCCAUUUUUAAUUGCUUUUGCUGAAUGUUAAUGCUGUGAACUAAAGGACAAUACAAUACAGUCAAAACUCCAACUGCAGCCGGAACGCAUUCAAUACUAUUUCAUGGCAACAACUACAACUACAAAACCAUCAUCUGCUCAGCUCAAAGUCCAAGUCCAACCCACCAAGCCUAAACGCCGCAAGUGUAAAGAAACCACCAUUUCUUCCUCCGUUGCUGUUGCUUCCACCACUGGUAACGACUCCUCUGAGUUGGAUUUUCACGGAGUUUUAAGCCGGAAACUCGACUCGCCCACCUUUGUUUCCCCUGAUAGCUCUUGGUGCUGUCCCGCUGCGAAACCCCUCCCAACUCCCCCUCCUUCUCCACCUCCGCUUCCGCCGCAAACUCGCCGUGUUGGGGACCAAGGGUUUACUGAUUCUUUGUCGGGUUUCAGGAUCCGAUAUUCUCCGGGAAGUGUGCUACCUGUCAUGGACUUCACGGGCGGAACAAUGCUCUCCAAUGGUCAUUCUCCGUCGAGUUUCAACAAGUUCAACUCUGCCCUCACGGCGGGUCUCUUAAACCCGAUGUCCCCUCCGCCUCCAGCGGACAAGAUACGGUCCAGCCCCACCCUUUUCGAAAUGAUGGCUAGCGAGCCCGAUAUCCAUCAAAGAACCCAAAACCAAACUCAGAUCCAAGUUUCGACUUCAGCUCCAAGACAAAACCAACCCCCGCCUGUUAUAGAUAAGCAGGUAUUGACCAUGCAACGAAUUUCGUAUCUUUUGUCGACUCGGAGCCCCGGGAACCAGUUUAACGAGCCGGGUUCGAGUGAUAUAAAGCUGACCUUGAGUUCCAAGGAUGGGCUCAGCGUGUCAUUGAACGUGCACCGGCAAAUACUAGUGGCUCACAGUAGGUUUUUUGCGGUGAGGUUAUCGGAUCGAUGGACAAUGCAGCAGAGGAAUGGAUCAGCUGGGCCGUACAUUGUGGAAAUAGCGGAUUGUGAUGACGUUGAGGUUUAUAUAGAGACCUUGAGAUUGAUGUAUUGUAAAGAUUUGAGGAAGAAACUAAUGAGAGAGGACGUGUCUAAGGUUCUUGGAAUUUUGAAGGUUUCAGCGGCAAUUGGAUUUGAUGCUGGGGUUUUGUCGUGUUUGGAGUACUUGGAAGCCGCCCCUUGGGCUGAGGAUGAAGAAGAGAAAGUAGCUUCUUUGUUGGCAGAGCUCCACCUCGAAAACGUUGGAGCUGGGGACGUUUUGAAGAGGGUUUCUGUUGAAGUUACUAAUGGAACUGAUGAGGGUGAUGAUAAUGAACAAGUGCUUCUCAAGCUUAUGAAUGUGGUUCUUGAAGGCAAAGAUGAGAAAGCAAGGUGUGAAAUGAAACGGUUGGUCUUUAAGAUGCUUAAGGAGAAUUCAUCUCAUAAUGAUCUCCGGAAAGAGUCUUUAUAUUCAGCUUCUGAUGGCUGUUUGGAACUGCUUCGGUACCAUUUUAUUCGAGCAGCAUCAGCUGAUUUGCAGGAUGCGAGUCAGAUUGCAAGACAAGCAAAUAAUUUGCACUGGAUCUUGGACAUUUUGAUUGAUAGACAGAUUGCUGAAGAUUUUCUAAAAACAUGGGCUUCUCAAUCUGAAUUAUCUGAUGCUCAUUCUAAAGUUCCAGUUGUCCAUAGGUUUGAAGUUAGCAGAGUUACUGCACGGCUAUUUGUAGGAAUUGGGAAGGGGCAGUUAUUGGCAUCAAAGGAAGUAAGGUGCCUGCUUUUGCAAACAUGGUUGGUUCCAUUUUACGAUGAUUUCGGGUGGAUGAGAAGGGCAUCGAAAGGCCUUGAUAGACAUUUAAUCGAGGAUGGUCUUAGCAACACAAUUCUCACUUUGCCUUUGGCUUGGCAGCAGGAAAUUUUGCUCGCAUGGUUUGAUAGGUUCUUGAACUCCGGUGAAGAUUGUCCCAACAUUCAAAAAGGUUUCGAAGUUUGGUGGAGGAGGGUUUUUUGGCGACGUGGUCGUGAAGGAGAACAACCAAGGCCAGUACGAGUUGCAACGGCAACCAUUGAGAACUCAUAAAGUUCCUAUGUCCAUGGUGCAGAACCAGUGGUGCACUUUAAUGGGUCUGUUGUUCUCAUUUUCACAAUGGUUUGGUCUUCAUUCUACACCAAUGGCUCAUUUAUUUUCUUCUUCCUCUCUAAACUGUGGCUCACAAUCGUGUGGAGUACUCGAGUUCUCGUAUGUAGAAUGCCGAGCAUCCUGUUAGAGAGAAGAGGACACUACUUUUGGUGGGUUGAUGAUGUGAG
Molecule: RNA transcript, 2434 nt
Organism: Hibiscus syriacus
Lineage: Eukaryota; Viridiplantae; Streptophyta; Magnoliopsida; Malvales; Malvaceae
Gene name: BTB/POZ domain-containing protein At1g63850-like
Exons: 3
Source: RefSeq, a predicted model, not a curated record